AUCAGCUGCCAGCAUGGCCAGAACAAAAGCAGGCAGAAGAAAGUAGAAAGAUUAGACUGGUUUAGUCUCCUGGCCUACAUCUUUCUCCUGUGCUGGAUGCUUCCUGCCCUCGAACAUUGGUCUCCGUUCUUCAGCACUGGGACUUGGACUGGAUUCCUUGCUCCUCAGCUUGCAGACGGCCUAUUGUGAGACCUCACCUUGUGAUUGCUGAUUCCUAGGGCAAGAAUCACUUGCAUGCUGAUAAAAGCCAGGGAGGCUCAGAGAAGCUAGAAACAACUGGAUCAUCAACACAAACUACUGCACUCCACUGGAAUUGAACAAAGACCUUUGCUGAAAUGCCCUAGCCAGCAAGAAAUGGUAACAUUCAGAUGAGAGAUGACCUUCAAGCAAGUACUGGUUAGAGGUAAAGAAACUGAAGCACAAACAAGUUGGGUAAGCUGCACAAGUUUACAAAGAUAAUUCCAUUUAAGCUGAAGCUCUGCAUACAAAGCAAAAUGGAGAAUUGGAGCAGAAGAGAGUACUUUAAACUAAGUUUUCUUCAAAAUAGUCUCAAAAUUGUGGUCAAAAUGUUUUUUUUUAAUUAUUGUACUUCAAGUUCUGGGAUACCUAUGCAGAACGUGCAGGUUUGUUACAUAGGUAUACAUGUGCCAUGGUGGUUUGCUGCACCCAUCAACCUAUCAAUCCAUCAUCUACAUUAGGUAUUUCUCCUAAUGCUAUCCAUCCCCUUGUCUUCCACCCUGCAACACGCCCUGGUGCAUGAUGUUCCCCUCCCUAUGUCCCUGUGUUCUCAUGUCAACUCUCACUUAUGAGUGAUAACAUGGUGUUUGUUUUUCGGUUCCUGUGUUAGUUUGCUGAGAAUGAUGGUUUCCAGCUUCAUCCAUGUCCCUGCAAAGGACACGGAUUAAUUCUUUUUUAUGACUUCAUAGUAUUCCAUGGUGUAUAUGUGCCACAUUUUCUCUAUCCAGGCUAUCAUUGAUGGGCAUUUGGGUUGGUUCCAGGUCCUUG
Molecule: long non-coding RNA, 1005 nt
Filed under: Homo sapiens (human)
Lineage: Eukaryota; Metazoa; Chordata; Mammalia; Primates; Hominidae
Description: HSALNT0057797
Source: RNAcentral